RNAcentral lists this ribosomal RNA (276 nucleotides) under uncultured prokaryote. RNAcentral's name for it is "partial 16S ribosomal RNA". It matches the Rfam family "Bacterial small subunit ribosomal RNA", at positions 524 to 800 of the family's 1533-position model. The record is from RNAcentral.
UACGUAGGUGGCAAGCGUUGUCCGGAUUUACUGGGCGUAAAGGGUGAGUAGGCGGUUAUAUAUGUCAGGUGUAAAAAGCUAUGGCUUAACCAUAGUAAGCACUUGAAACUGUAUGACUUGAGUGCAGGAGAGGUAAGCGGAAUUCCUAGUGUAGCGGUGAAAUGCGUAGAUAUUAGGAGGAACACCGGUGGCGAAGGCGGCUUACUGGACUGUAACUGACGCUGAGUCACGAAAGCGUGGGUAGCAAACAGGAUUAGAUACCCGGGUAGUCCCUGA